RNAcentral lists this small RNA (359 nucleotides) under Hippocampus comes (tiger tail seahorse). Its description in RNAcentral is "Vertebrate telomerase RNA (ENSHCOG00000009847.1)". Lineage: Eukaryota; Metazoa; Chordata; Actinopteri; Syngnathiformes; Syngnathidae. The record is from RNAcentral.
CAUUCGGCGGAGUGUACACCUAACCCUAACCAUGUACUCCUUCCGUACCCAGUGAUUGCUGUUUUCGGUCUCGGGCUUUUAAGCAAUCUAUGGAAGGUUACCCCCUGACGGAUUAAGAGCCAAAUCAGACGGGCGACAAACAGUCCCGAGAAAUACACUCCGUCGAGUUCAGGUCCCCAUGGGGAAAGCACCGCGGAUGCACGCCGUGGUCAGCUUGGCUGCCGCGAAGAGUUAGUCUCUGCUGCUCCGAUGGCUUCCCACCGGGGAGGAAUGUUGGCCACUGAACAGAUUAACCUGAGCGGAGGCAGUACCGCCGAACCUUUCAAUGGUCCGGUUGUGGAGCCUAAGCUCAAACAUUU